CACAAAUGAAAAGAUGCAGGUUGUUUAAUUUGUGGGCAAAGACUACAUACAGGUGGGAAGAAUAAAUCCUCUUUUGCAACCCAGAGAACUCAUCGUUCAGUAUGAGUUUUGAUACAUGUAAGAAUGAACGUA
Molecule: small nucleolar RNA, 132 nt
Organism: Pteronotus mesoamericanus
Lineage: Eukaryota; Metazoa; Chordata; Mammalia; Chiroptera; Mormoopidae
Product: small nucleolar RNA SNORA40
Exons: 1
Source: RefSeq, a predicted model, not a curated record